GAUGAACGCUGGCGGCGUGCCUAAUACAUGCAAGUCGAGCGAACGGACGAGAAGCUUGCUUCUCUGAUGUUAGCGGCGGACGGGUGAGUAACACGUGGAUAACCUACCUAUAAGACUGGGAUAACUUCGGGAAACCGGAGCUAAUACCGGAUAAUAUUUUGAACCGCAUGGUUCAAAAGUGAAAGACGGUCUUGCUGUCACUUAUAGAUGGAUCCGCGCUGCAUUAGCUAGUUGGUAAGGUAACGGCUUACCAAGGCAGCGAUGCAUAGCCGACCUGAGAGGGUGAUAGGCCACACUGGAACUGAGACACGGUCCAGACUCCUACGGGAGGCAGCAGUAGGGAAUCUUCCGCAAUGGGCGAAAGCCUGACGGAGCAACGCCGCGUGAGUGAUGAAGGUCUUCGGAUCGUAAAACUCUGUUAUUAGGGAAGAACAUAUGUGUAAGUAACUGUGCACAUCUUGACGGUACCUAAUCAGAAAGCCACGGCUAACUACGUG
RNAcentral lists this ribosomal RNA (497 nucleotides) under uncultured bacterium. Its description in RNAcentral is "partial 16S ribosomal RNA". It matches the Rfam family "Bacterial small subunit ribosomal RNA", at positions 28 to 507 of the family's 1533-position model. The record is from RNAcentral.